GUCCCGGGGGUCACCGGGGGUUACCGGGGGGGGUCACCGGGGGGUCCCGGGGGUCACGGUCCGCCGUGUCCCCCCCAGGACGGGCAGUCGGUGUCGCCCCCCGCCUACUGGGGGGACACGGUCACCGGACCCUUCCUCAUCUUCGGCCUGGACCCCGGCGGGCACCGGAGCCCCCCGAAGACGGCCACCGAGGUGUCGCUGGCCGCUGUCACGGCGCUGCUGCACGAGCUGCUCACCGGGGACCCCCCCCCCGGGGACCCCCCAACCGGGGACCCCCCCACCGGGGACCCCCCAACCGGGCACCGGGACCCCCG
This 314-nucleotide long non-coding RNA is filed under the name Chloebia gouldiae (Gouldian finch). RNAcentral's name for it is "Erythrura gouldiae (Gouldian finch) lncRNA (ENSEGOG00005018634.1)". Lineage: Eukaryota; Metazoa; Chordata; Aves; Passeriformes; Passeridae. The record is from RNAcentral.